Molecule: ribosomal RNA, 748 nt
Filed under: uncultured bacterium
Lineage: Bacteria
Description: bacterial SSU rRNA
Rfam family: Bacterial small subunit ribosomal RNA
Source: RNAcentral
CUCUUCGGGGAUGAUUAAACCGGCGCACGGGUGAGUAACACGUGAGUGACCUGCCUUUUAGACUGGAACAACUUACCGAAAGGUGAGCUAAUGCCGGAUGAGUUAUAUAAGUGCAUGUUUAUAUAGGAAAAGUUGGGGAGACCUGACGCUGAAAGAUGGACUCGCGUCCCAUUAGCUAGUUGGUAGGGUAAUGGCCUACCAAGGCGACGAUGGGUAGCCGGCCUGAGAGGGUGGCCGGCCACACUGGGACUGAGACACGGCCCAGACUCCUACGGGAGGCAGCAGUGGGGAAUUUUGCGCAAUGCUCGUAAGAGUGACGCAGCGACGCCGCGUGAAUGACGAAGGCCUUCGGGUCGUAAAGUUCUUUCGACAGGGAAGAAAAUGCCUAUAAGUAACUGUGUAUGUAUUGACGGUACCUGUAUAAGCAGCCCCGGCUAACUCCGUGCCAGCAGCCGCGGUAAUACGGAGGGGGCGAGCGUUGUUCGGAGUGACUGGGCGUAAAGAGCACGUAGGCGGUGUUGUAAGUCAUUAGUCAAAGACUAGAGCUCAACUUUAGUAAGGCUAGUGAUACUAUAAUACUAGAGUAUCAGAGAGGAUUGCAGAAUUCCUGGUGUAGCGGUGAAAUGCGUAGAUAUCAGGAGGAAUACCGUUAGCGAAGGCGGCAAUCUGGCUGGAAACUGACGCUGAGGUGCGAAAGCGUGGGUAGCAAACAGGAUUAGAUACCCUGGUAGUCCACGCUGUAAACGAU